AUAAAUUUUAAUUUAGGUUUAUUAUUUUAUUAUUAAUUAGAUUUACAUGUAAAUUUUAGUGGAAAUUAAUAAAUAUUUAAAAAAUUAUAAUUUAUGCAGUAAUUAAUAUUAUAUUAUUAAAGAAAUUUAGAAAUAGUUAAAUUAAAUAGUAUAAAUUAAAUUUGUGCCAGCAAUUGCGGUUAAACAGAUUAUACAAAUAAAAUUUAUUGGUUAAAAUAAAAUUUUGUUUAUAAUAUAUUUAUUUAUAAAAUUAAUUUAUUAAGUGAAAUUUUAAAUUAAUAUAUUAGUAAAUAUAAAAAAUAAUGAAUAUAUUGAAUUUAUAAAUUUAGAAAUAAACUAGGAUUAGAUACCCUAUUAUUAUAAAUUAAGAUUUAAAAACUAUAGUAGUAUUUGUUAUGUUCUUGAAAUUAAAAAAAUUUGGCGGUAUUUUAGUCUAUUCAGAGGAACCUGUUUCAUAAUCGAUAAUCCACGAUGGACCUUACUUAAUUUUGUUAAGUUUAUAUACCGUCGUUAUAAAUAUUUUAAAAGAAUAAUAAAUUUUUAAAAGUUAUUAUAAUAUAAUAUAUCAGAUCAAGGUUUAGCUGAUAAUUAAGUGAAAAUGGGUUACAAUAAAUUUAUUUAAAUGGAAUAAAUAAUGAAAUAUAUUUAUGAAAUUGGAUUUGAUAGUAAAAUUAUAUAGAUUAAUAAUUUGAUUUUAGCUCUAAAAUAUGUACAUAUCGCCCGUCACUCUUAUUUAUAAAUAAGAUAAGUCGUAACAUAGUAGAUGUACUGGAAAGUGUAUCUAGAAUGCA
Molecule: non-coding RNA, 791 nt
Filed under: Phthiridium sp. A GC-2023a
Lineage: Eukaryota; Metazoa; Arthropoda; Insecta; Diptera; Nycteribiidae
Source: RNAcentral